This 838-nucleotide ribosomal RNA is filed under the name uncultured bacterium. RNAcentral describes it as "bacterial SSU rRNA". It matches the Rfam family "Bacterial small subunit ribosomal RNA", at positions 51 to 870 of the family's 1533-position model. The record is from RNAcentral.
ACACAUGCAAGUCGAACGGAGAUUACUUCGGUAAUCUUAGUGGCGAACGGGUGAGUAACGCGUGGGCAACCUGCCCUCUAGAUGGGGACAACAUCCCGAAAGGGGUGCUAAUACCGAAUGUGACAGCAAUCUCGCAUGAGGAUGCUGUGAAAGAUGGCCUCUAUUUAUAAGCUAUCGCUAGAGGAUGGGCCUGCGUCUGAUUAGCUAGUUGGUGGGGUAACGGCCUACCAAGGCGAUGAUCAGUAGCCGGUCUGAGAGGAUGAACGGCCACAUUGGGACUGAGACACGGCCCAGACUCCUACGGGAGGCAGCAGUGGGGAAUCUUCCGCAAUGGGCGAAAGCCUGACGGAGCAAUGCCGCGUGAGUGAUGAAGGAAUUCGUUCCGUAAAGCUCUUUUGUUUAUGACGAAUGUGCAGGUUGUGAAUAAUGACUUGUAAUGACGGUAGUAAACGAAUAAGCCACGGCUAACUACGUGCCAGCAGCCGCGGUAAUACGUAGGUGGCGAGCGUUGUCCGGAAUUAUUGGGCGUAAAGAGCAUGUAGGCGGUUUUUUAAGUCUGGAGUGAAAAUGCGGGGCUCAACCCCGUAUGGCUCUGGAUACUGGAAGACUUGAGUGCAGGAGAGGAAAGGGGAAUUCCCAGUGUAGCGGUGAAAUGCGUAGAUAUUGGGAGGAACACCAGUGGCGAAGGCGCCUUUCUGGACUGUGUCUGACGCUGAGAUGCGAAAGCCAGGGUAGCGAACGGGAUUAGAUACCCCGGCAGUCCUGGCCGUAAACGAUGGGUACUAGGCGUAGGAGGUAUCGACCCCUUCUGUGCCGGAGUUAACGCAAUAAGUACCCC